UUGCUUACCCAACUCCUGGAGCAUAGGCUGCAAUAUCUGUGGAUUGGCUUGCACCAUUGCUCGAAGGGCCUGGAACUGUGGACUAUUGCGUAGAAAAUCCAAAUUUCCAGCACCGGCAUUUGAACCAGCAUUUGUUAAGCCCUGAGGGAACAGAUCUAGAGGAUUAGCAUUUGGUCCACUGGAAGGAACUGCUAGUUGUGAAGCAUCCUGAGCUGCAGGGUUUAUAGCCUGAGCACUGGCAGGAGCAGCAGGUGCACGGGCAACAGGCGGAAUUUCGGUUUGUUCAGGAAUACCAGAAUACAAGUAAUCAACAGCUCUCUCUGGAUUGUUAUAUGCUGCACGCAAAGCACGCACAACUGUAUCCCUAUCCCAGCUUCCCCCACCCAUAUCAAGAAUCUGUUGA
RNAcentral lists this unclassified non-coding RNA (403 nucleotides) under Hevea brasiliensis (rubber tree). Lineage: Eukaryota; Viridiplantae; Streptophyta; Magnoliopsida; Malpighiales; Euphorbiaceae. The record is from RNAcentral.